Molecule: ribosomal RNA, 155 nt
Filed under: uncultured bacterium
Lineage: Bacteria
Description: partial 16S ribosomal RNA
Rfam family: Bacterial small subunit ribosomal RNA
Source: RNAcentral
CGGAUCAGCAUGCCGCGGUGAAUACGUUCCCGGGCCUUGUACACACCGCCCGUCACACCAUGGGAGCCGGUAAUACCCGAAGUCAGUAGUCCAACCACGUGAGGACGCUGCCGAAGGUAGGAUUGGCGACUGGGGUGAAGUCGUAACAAGGUAGC